This 1169-nucleotide ribosomal RNA is filed under the name uncultured Bacteroides sp. RNAcentral's name for it is "bacterial SSU rRNA". It matches the Rfam family "Bacterial small subunit ribosomal RNA", at positions 10 to 1177 of the family's 1533-position model. The record is from RNAcentral. Lineage: Bacteria; Pseudomonadati; Bacteroidota; Bacteroidia; Bacteroidales; Bacteroidaceae.
AGUUUGAUCCUGGCUCAGGAUGAACGCUAGCUACAGGCUUAACACAUGCAAGUCGAGGGGCAGCAUUGGAGUAGCAAUACUUCAGAUGGCGACCGGCGCACGGGUGAGUAACACGUAUCCAACCUGCCGCUUACUCGGGGGUAGCCUUUCGAAAGAAAGAUUAAUACCCGAUGGUAUAAAGAGUUCGCAUGUUCUCUUUAUUAAAGAAUUUCGGUAAGCGAUGGGGAUGCGUUCCAUUAGAUAGUUGGCGGGGUAACGGCCCACCAAGUCUACGAUGGAUAGGGGUUCUGAGAGGAAGGUCCCCACAUUGGAACUGAGACACGGUCCAAACUCCUACGGGAGGCAGCAGUGAGGAAUAUUGGUCAAUGGACGCGAGUCUGAACCAGCCAAGUAGCGUGAAGGAUGACUGCCCUAUGGGUUGUAAACUUYNUUUUAUAAGGGAAUAAAGUGAGGGACGUGUCCCUUUUUGUAUGUACCUUAUGAAUAAGGAUCGGCUAACUCCGUGCCAGCAGCCGCGGUAAUACGGAGGAUCCAAGCGUUAUCCGGAUUUAUUGGGUUUAAAGGGAGCGUAGGUUGACAUAUAAGUCAGCUGUGAAAGUUUACGGCUCAACCGUGAAAUUGCAGUUGAUACUGUAUGUCUUGAGUGUACAAGAGGUGGGCGGAAUUCGUGGUGUAGCGGUGAAAUGCUUAGAUAUCACGAAGAACUCCAAUUGCGAAGGCAGCUCACUGGGGUACAACUGACACUGAGGCUCGAAAGUGUGGGUAUCAAACAGGAUUAGAUACCCUGGUAGUCCACACAGUAAACGAUGAAUACGCGCUGUUUGCGAUAUACAGUAAGCGGCCAAGCGAAAGCAUUAAGUAUUCCACCUGGGGAGUACGCCGGCAACGGUGAAACUCAAAGGAAUUGACGGGGGCCCACACAAGCGGAGGAACAUGUGGUUUAAUUCGAUGAUACGCGAGGAACCUUACCCGGGCUUGAAUUGCAGAGGAACAUAGUUGAAAGAUUAUGGCCGCAAGGUCUCUGUGAAGGUGCUGCAUGGUUGUCGUCAGCUCGUGCCGUGAGGUGUCGGCUUAAGUGCCAUAACGAGCGCAACCCUUAUCAUUAGUUACUAACAGGUCAUGCUGAGGACUCUAGUGAGACUGCCGUCGUAAGAUGUGAGGAAGGUGGA